GCAGACAUGGUGUAACGGUUAGCAUUCUGUCUUCAAUAAUCACAGUAUCCGAUAAUACUGACAGAGAUCGGGGUUCGACUCCCUGUGUCUGCA
Elasticomyces elasticus is the source of this 93-nucleotide non-coding RNA. The record is from the annotation of a GenBank genome assembly. Lineage: Eukaryota; Fungi; Ascomycota; Dothideomycetes; Mycosphaerellales; Teratosphaeriaceae.